Molecule: RNase P RNA, 397 nt
Filed under: human gut metagenome
Description: Bacterial RNase P class A
Rfam family: Bacterial RNase P class A
About the family: Ribonuclease P (RNase P) is a ubiquitous endoribonuclease, found in archaea, bacteria and eukarya as well as chloroplasts and mitochondria. Its best characterised activity is the generation of mature 5'-ends of tRNAs by cleaving the 5'-leader elements of precursor-tRNAs. Cellular RNase Ps are ribonucleoproteins.
Source: RNAcentral
CGGAGCGGGCAAUCGCGGCUCUCCCCGGGUAACCGGAGGAGGGGCGAGGAAAGUCCGGGCUCCGCAGAGCGAGGCGCUGGCUAACGGCCAGGAGCUUGAAAUGGGACCCACGUGAUCUCGUUUCCGGCUACGGAAAGUGCAACAGAGAAGAGACCGCCGCGUCCUUCGGGACGCGGUAAGGGUGAAACGGUGGGGUAAGAGCCCACCGCCUGGGUGGUGACAUCCAGGGCAAGGUAAACCCCGCCUGGAGCAAGACCAAAUAGGCGUGCGCUACGAGGACGGCUCGUCCCAGCACGCGGGUAGGAUCGCUCGAGCCCGUCGGUAACGGCGGGCCUAGAGGAAUGGUUGCCACCCUCUCCUUCGGGGGAGGGAACAGAACCCGGCUUACAGCUCCGCC